UUCAAGAGAAACAAAUAAUAAGAGAUAUAAAACCAGUUAGUUUUUCAUUGUAUUGUAAUAACAAGAGUCAAUCCUAUACUGUCAUCAACUAUUUACAUGUUUGUACAGAUACCAGUGUAUCCACUGUCAGGUAAAUGAGUGUGUUAACGGCAAUAGACCAGUGUUAUUCAGGUUAAUCUGCAUCCAAGCUUCUUUGUACAAUCAGAAAUUGCACACUGGUAACUUAUAAUUAAUCAGUCUCCUCUAAGAAAAGGGAGGCAUCAGCACUAUAAUGUCAAGACACCUGUACAUGGAUUGUAGAUGGGAUCAGAAAGCCUUGCAAAGGUUAGAAUUCACGUUAGACGAACAUUGUUCCCUUAUUGGACUAUUGUUGACACACAGUCUGCUUCGUUUUGGUUCAGAUAUCCUGCAAUGCAAUAUCGCUGCUGCAAGCACAUCAACUAAACCAGAGUCGUCGGAUUCUUCAGAUUCCCUGUUCAAACUUCCACACCUUAAAUCAUUGGUUUCUCCAUUGAGAGAUUUACAGCAUCUCUUCUUUCCAUCUGAUUCUAAUCUAGAGGUAAUGGCUGGUAUUUGGCUUGGUGUUCCAGAGAAAUGCUUUGGCUUCAACCUGACAGACACCAUCUUCAAAGUGCGCUCUGUGUAGAACAUCAUCCAUGGAUGGCUUAAAACUUCUUCAGCAGUUAUCCUUGCAGCAACAUCCCUUGUAAGAAUCCGCUCAAGAAGAUCACGUGCAAG
Molecule: unclassified non-coding RNA, 738 nt
Filed under: Hevea brasiliensis (rubber tree)
Lineage: Eukaryota; Viridiplantae; Streptophyta; Magnoliopsida; Malpighiales; Euphorbiaceae
Source: RNAcentral